Molecule: ribosomal RNA, 107 nt
Filed under: uncultured bacterium
Lineage: Bacteria
Description: partial 16S ribosomal RNA
Source: RNAcentral
UGAGCAAUCUGCCCUUCUCAUCGGAAUAAGCGUUGGAAACGACGUCUAAUGCCGAGUACGACCUCCUUUCACAUGAUCGGAGGUGGAAAGCUCCGGCGGAGAAGGAU